Molecule: non-coding RNA, 415 nt
Filed under: Enterobacter sp. Sphag71
Lineage: Bacteria; Pseudomonadati; Pseudomonadota; Gammaproteobacteria; Enterobacterales; Enterobacteriaceae
Also listed under: 1 other name
Source: RNAcentral
AGAUUGUUCAGCGUGGUUUUUAACGGUUUGAUAUGCAGUGUGUUGUUGUUCAGCACCACAUUGCCGCUGGCAUGCACCUGCUCGCCAUCCAGCGGAAUAUCGAGAUUGAGUUUGCCGCGCACAUUGCCGCCAAUCUGCAACUCCUGCAGCGCCGCGCCAAGUGUUGGUUUCAGCGGCGUCUGCUCGAAAUAGUCGGCGAUUUUUUUGCCUUCGCCGCUGAUAUCGCCAUCGAUGAUCAACUUCUCUUUCAGGUAAUCCGGAAUUACCGCGCUGACAUUGCGCGCAUCAACCUCGCCGAGCUUGGUUUGAUCGGCUUUCAUCCACAAACCGUUGUUGAGGAAGUCGAGAUUAAUGUCGAGAUUUUCCAGUGCAGGCCAGCCGGGCUGGAACUGGAAGGUGGAGUUACGCAGCGGUA